AUACGGAGGGGGUUAGCGUUGUUCGGAAUUACUGGGCGUAAAGCGUACGUAGGCGGACUGGAAAGUUGGGGGUGAAAUCCCGGGGCUCAACCCCGGAACUGCCUCCAAAACUUCCAAUCUAGAGAUCGAGAGAGAUGAGUGGAAUUCCAAGUGUAGAGGUGAAAUUCGUAGAUAUUUGGAGGAACACCAGUGGCGAAGGCGGCUCACUGGCUCGAUACUGACGCUGAGGUACGAAAGCGUGGGGAGCAAACAGGAUUAGAUACCCCAGUAGUCC
RNAcentral lists this ribosomal RNA (274 nucleotides) under uncultured bacterium. Its description in RNAcentral is "partial 16S ribosomal RNA". It matches the Rfam family "Bacterial small subunit ribosomal RNA", at positions 523 to 796 of the family's 1533-position model. The record is from RNAcentral.